ACGGGAGGCCGCAGUGGGGAAUAUUGCACAAUGGGGGAAACCCUGAUGCAGCGACGCCGCGUGAGUGAAGAAGUAUUUCGGUAUGUAAAGCUCUAUCAGCAGGGAAGAUAAUGACGGUACCUGACUAAGAAGCCCCGGCUAACUACGUGCCAGCAGCCGCGGUAAUACGUAGGGGGCAAGCGUUAUCCGGAUUUACUGGGUGUAAAGGGUGCGUAGGUGGUAUGGCAAGUCAGAAGUGAAAACCCGGGGCGCAACCCCGUGGAUUGCUUUUGAAACUGUCAAACUAGAGUACCGGAGAGGUAAGCGGAAUUCCUAGUGUAGCGGUGAAAUGCGUAGAUAUUAGGAGGAACACCAGUGGCGAAGGCGGCUUACUGGACGGUAACUGACACUGAGGCACGAAAGCGUGGGGAGCAAACAGGAUUAGAUACCCUGGUA
Molecule: ribosomal RNA, 435 nt
Filed under: uncultured Coprococcus sp.
Lineage: Bacteria; Bacillati; Bacillota; Clostridia; Lachnospirales; Lachnospiraceae
Description: partial 16S ribosomal RNA
Rfam family: Bacterial small subunit ribosomal RNA
Source: RNAcentral